This 441-nucleotide ribosomal RNA is filed under the name uncultured bacterium. RNAcentral's name for it is "partial 16S ribosomal RNA". It matches the Rfam family "Bacterial small subunit ribosomal RNA", at positions 338 to 795 of the family's 1533-position model. The record is from RNAcentral.
CCUACGGGUGGCAGCAGUGGGGAAUAUUGCACAAUGGGGGAAACCCUGAUGCAGCGACGCCGCGUGGGUGAAGGAGUGCUUUGGCAGGUAAAGCCCUAUUGGCAGGGAGGAAGCAAGACGGUACCUGACCAAGAAGACACGGCUAACUACGUGGCAGCAGCUGCGGUAAUACGUAGGGGGCGAGCGUUACCGGGGUUCACUGGGUGAAAAGGGGGCGUAGACGGCCAUGCAAGCAAGGGGUGAAAGCCCGGGGCCCAGCCCCGGGACUGCCCUUGGAACUGCAUGGCUGGAGUGCGGGGGGGGCAGGCGGAAUUCCUGGUGUAGCGGUGAAAUGCGUAGAUAUCAGGAGGAACACCGGCGGCGAAGGCGGCCUGCUGGACCGCGACUGACGUUGAGGCUCGAAAGCGUGGGGAGCGAACAGGAUUAGAUACCCCUGUAGUC